This 94-nucleotide microRNA precursor is filed under the name Marmota monax (woodchuck). The record is from RNAcentral. Lineage: Eukaryota; Metazoa; Chordata; Mammalia; Rodentia; Sciuridae.
GUCUGAAUCACUGGGGCAUCUUGUUAAAAAUGCAGACUCUGACUUAGCGGGCUUACGAGUCUGCCUUUGUGACAAGCUCCUACUUGAUGUCAUG